GGGGGCGGGGGGGGGCAGGAGCAGCGCGUUGUGGCCGGUCCGCACUCCAGAGCCGCCUCCCCCCGCGCGGCCCGGCUGCGCUAGAGUCCGAGACCGGGACUGGCCUCGGAGGUGAAUCCGGGCGACCCCUUUCCCUGGAAGCUCGUGGGCACGUGCAGGCGUCGCUGGUGCUGCUCGUUUCCCCUCGCCCGUGCUGCCUGCCCUGCUGGACGCGGCCCAGGUGUACGAGUUAAGGUUGGUUCAAUACUUAGGUUUCUGCAGUAACCUUAGCAGUGGUGUUGGUUGUGGUACGCACCACGUGGACUCACUGAAUCAGAUGCGUCAGCUUUUGUAAGCAUCUGGCAAAAAUAAACUUUUUUUUACAGCAACAUCCCAAAUAAAGAGACCUUAUAAGAUUG
Molecule: long non-coding RNA, 398 nt
Organism: Alligator sinensis (Chinese alligator)
Lineage: Eukaryota; Metazoa; Chordata; Crocodylia; Alligatoridae
Exons: 2
Source: RefSeq, a predicted model, not a curated record